GGGUGUUUCAUCUAACAGUAAGGCUGGGAUUCAAUCCCAGGCGUGUCAUAGAGGUUCGCACUGGACAACCGUCAACACGCCUUUUCAAGAGACUGAGGAGGUGAAGACACAGAGCAGGUUAUGUCCUUCCAGCUGGACCAGAUAUGGGUCCCGCUGCUUUAUGUUUGUCAGGACGCAGAGGACAUGGCUUGAGGCAGAGAACCGGGUGUGGCUUUGGAGUGAAGGGUGAAGUUUGGAUUACACUAGCUGGCACCCAGGAGAACCCAACAAUUACAAUGGCAAGCGGGAGCCUUGCAUGAUGAUGAACUCUGGAGGUGAGAAACGCUGGAAUGAUGAAAUAUGUAGAAACAAAUAUUAUUUUGUGUGUGUUAAAAUAAUCUGUCAAUAAAUCCUGAGAAACUUCAA
Molecule: long non-coding RNA, 405 nt
Organism: Oncorhynchus masou masou (cherry salmon)
Lineage: Eukaryota; Metazoa; Chordata; Actinopteri; Salmoniformes; Salmonidae
Exons: 4
Source: RefSeq, a predicted model, not a curated record